RNAcentral lists this ribosomal RNA (372 nucleotides) under uncultured organism. RNAcentral describes it as "bacterial SSU rRNA". It matches the Rfam family "Bacterial small subunit ribosomal RNA", at positions 526 to 896 of the family's 1533-position model. The record is from RNAcentral.
CAGAGGUCCCAAGCGUUGUUCGGAUUCACUGGGCGUAAAGGGUGCGUAGGUGGUCGGGUAAGUUUGAUGUGAAAUCUCCGGGCUCAACCCGGAAACUGCAUUGAAUACUAUUCGGCUGGAGGGUUGGAGGGGGGACUGGAAUACUUGGUGUAGCAGUGAAAUGCGUAGAUAUCAAGUGGAACACCAGUGGCGAAGGCGAGUCCCUGGACAACUCCUGACACUGAGGCACGAAAGCUAGGGGAGCAAACAGGAUUAGAUACCCUGGUAGUCCUAGCCGUAAACGGUGCGUAUUUGCUGUAAAAGGAAUCGACCCCUUUUGUGGCGUAGCUAACGCGAUAAAUACGCCGCCUGGGAAGUACGGUCGCAAGAUUA